GACGAACGCUGGCGGCGUGCUUAACACAUGCAAGUCGAACGGAAAGGCCUGCUUUCCCUUGUGGAUUGCGGGUACUCGAGUGGCGAACGGGUGAGUAACACGUGAGUGAUCUGCCCCCAACUUGGGUAUAAGCCUGGGAAACUGGGUCUAAUUCCCGAUAGGACUGCAGGGUGGUGCCUGUGGUGGAAAACGAUUUUCUAGUGGUUGGGGAUGAGCUCGCGGCCUAUCAGCUUGUUGGUGGGGUAAUGGCCUACCAAGGCGGCGACGGGUAGCCGGCCUGAGAGGGUGGACGGCAACAUUGGAACUGAGAUACGGCCAAGACUCCUCCGGGAGGCAGCAGUGGGGAAUAUUGCCCAAUGGGCGGAAGCCUGAUGCAGCGACGCCGCGUGGGGGAUGACGGCCUUCGGGUUGUAAACUCCUUUCGACCGCGAGGAAGCCACCUGGUUGGAAGGGUGGUGACGGUAGUGGUAGAAGAAGCACCGGCUAACUACGUG
Molecule: ribosomal RNA, 494 nt
Filed under: uncultured bacterium
Lineage: Bacteria
Description: partial 16S ribosomal RNA
Rfam family: Bacterial small subunit ribosomal RNA
Source: RNAcentral